UGGGGAAUUUUGGACAAUGGGCGAAAGCCUGAUCCAGCCAUGCCGCGUGAGUGAAGAAGGCCUUCGGGUUGUAAAGCUCUUUUAGUCGGGAAGAAAGAGAUGCAAUGAAUCAUUGUGAUUUAUGACGGUACCGACAGAAAAAGCACCGGCUAACUACGUGCCAGCAGCCGCGGCAAUACGUAGGGUGCGAGCGUUAAUCGGAAUUACUGGGCGUAAAGGGUGCGCAGGCGGUCUUGCAAGUCAGAUGUGAAAGCCCCGGGCUUAACCUGGGAAUUGCGUUUGAAACUACAAGACUAGAGUGCAGCAGAGGGGAGUGGAAUUCCAUGUGUAGCAGUGAAAUGCGUAGAUAUGUGGAAGAACACCGAUGGCGAAGGCAGCUCCCUGGGUUGACACUGACGCUCAUGCACGAAAGCGUGGGGAGCAAACA
This 427-nucleotide ribosomal RNA is filed under the name uncultured beta proteobacterium. RNAcentral describes it as "bacterial SSU rRNA". It matches the Rfam family "Bacterial small subunit ribosomal RNA", at positions 355 to 774 of the family's 1533-position model. Lineage: Bacteria; Pseudomonadati; Pseudomonadota; Betaproteobacteria. The record is from RNAcentral.